Molecule: ribosomal RNA, 371 nt
Filed under: uncultured bacterium
Lineage: Bacteria
Description: bacterial SSU rRNA
Rfam family: Bacterial small subunit ribosomal RNA
Source: RNAcentral
ACGAAGGGGGCUAGCGUUGUUCGGAUUUACUGGGCGUAAAGCGCGUGUAGGCGGGUCGUUAAGUUGGGGGUGAAAUCCCGAGGCUCAACCUCGGAACUGCCUUCAAAACUGGCGGCCUGGAGCAAGAUAGAGGCGAGUGGAAUUCCGAGUGUAGAGGUGAAAUUCGUAGAUAUUCGGAGGAACACCAGUGGCGAAGGCGACUCGCUGGAUCUUUGCUGACGCUGAGACGCGAAAGCGUGGGGAGCAAACAGGAUUAGAUACCCUGGUAGUCCACGCUGUAAACGAUGAGAGCUAGUUGUCGGCACGCAUGCGUGUCGGUGACGCAGCUAACGCAUUAAGCUCUCCGCCUGGGGAGUACGGCCGCAAGGUUA